RNAcentral lists this ribosomal RNA (363 nucleotides) under uncultured bacterium. RNAcentral's name for it is "SSU rRNA". It matches the Rfam family "Bacterial small subunit ribosomal RNA", at positions 26 to 369 of the family's 1533-position model. The record is from RNAcentral.
AGAACGAACGCUGGCGGCGUGGAUAAGACAUGCAAGUCGAGCGCUGAUUAAAGGGUAGCAAUAUCUUUUAAUUGGAGCGGCGCAAGGGUGCGUAACACGUGGGUAAUUUGCCAUGAAGUUGGGGAUAACUUGCUGAAAGGCGAGCUAAUACCGAAUGUGGCCCGACGGAGACAUCUCUGUUUGGCUAAAGCUGGGGACCGCAAGGCCUGACGCUUCAUGAUAAACCCGCGGCCUAUCAGCUAGUUGGUGAGGUAACGGCCCACCAAGGCUAAGACGGUAGCUGGUCUGAGAGGACGACCAGCCACACUGGAACUGAGAGACGGUCCAGACACCUACGGGUGGCAGCAGUCGAGAAUUUUUCAC